This 252-nucleotide ribosomal RNA is filed under the name uncultured bacterium. Its description in RNAcentral is "partial 16S ribosomal RNA". It matches the Rfam family "Bacterial small subunit ribosomal RNA", at positions 524 to 776 of the family's 1533-position model. The record is from RNAcentral.
UACGUAGGUGGCGAGCGUUAUCCGGAAUCAUUGGGCGUAAAGAGGGAGCAGGCGGCCGCAAGGGUCUGUGGUGAAAGACCGAAGCUAAACUUCGGUGAGCCAUGGAAACCGGGCGGCUAGAGUGCGGAAGAGGAUCGUGGAAUUCCAUGUGUAGCGGUGAAAUGCGUAGAUAUAUGGAGGAACACCAGUGGCGAAGGCGACGGUCUGGGCCGCAACUGACGCUCAUUCCCGAAAGCGUGGGGAGCAAAUAGG